This 305-nucleotide ribosomal RNA is filed under the name uncultured bacterium. Its description in RNAcentral is "bacterial SSU rRNA". It matches the Rfam family "Bacterial small subunit ribosomal RNA", at positions 490 to 793 of the family's 1533-position model. The record is from RNAcentral.
GGGACGGCUAACUACGUGCCAGCAGCCGCGGUAAUACGUAGGUCCCGAGCGUUAUCCGGAAUUAUUGGGCGUAAAGGGCACGUAGGCGGACAAAUAAGUUUGAUGUCAAAUAUGAUGGCUCAACCAUCAAGAGGCGUUGAAAACUGUUUAUCUAGAAUCUCGGAGAGGUAAGUGGAAUUCCAUGUGUAGCGGUGGAAUGCGUAGAUAUAUGGAGGAACACCAAUGGCGAAGGCAGCUUACUGGACGAAGAUUGACGCUGACGGUGCGAAAGCGUGGGUAGCAAACAGGAUUAGAUACCCUGGUAG